GACCUUGAGAGGUCAUCUAGUCCAGUCCCCUGCAUUCAAGGCAGGACUAAGUAUUAUCUAGACCAUCCCUGACAGGUGUUUGUCCAACCUGCUCUUAAAAAUCUUCAAUGAGAUUAUGGUCUAGGAUGGACAUUCCAAAGUUCUCCUCCUCGGGGUCUUCUCUUUAGGAGCAUUAGCCUCUUUCUGCCUUAUUCUUUAGAAGCCCUUCUGGGAAUGCCAAGGCCUUAGCAGCCUGAAUGAUUUAUGAUCAGUAGCCUGCCGUAGCCUGGAGUCUUGUGCAGCUAAUUUUCACAUAACCUGUGAAUGUUUCAGCUCUUAAAUCUGCUGUGUACGUUUAAAAUAAACCUGUAUGCCAUUUGGGUGUAUAGUGCUCCCUACACAGAGUGGAAGUGCGUUCUAACAGUUUCAGUGUCAGGUUGAGCGGAGUCCAGAGUUCUGUCCUACCACUGCCAGUUUAUUACUCUGUGAUCAUGGUCAGGUGACAUAAGCCAUAAUUUGGCAAUUGGGUGCCUGAAGUUAGGCUCUGAAAUCUGUAUUUAGGCAUUUAAAUCAGUGGCCAGAUUUUCAGAGACGCUAAGCACCCACAACUCAGCUUCGCCCUCUCUCAGGUUAUAUCUAUGCUUCAAGGUAGGGGUGAAAUUCCCAUCUUGAGGAGCCAUACCCGCGCUAGCUCUGAUCAAGCGAGCACGCUAAAAAGAAUGUAGCUGCGGUGGUGUGAGCAGUGGGAGGGGCUAGCUGCCCUGAGUAUGGACAGGUAUGUAUUUGGGAUGGCUCACCCUUCCUGCUACUCGCUGUACUGCUGCAACGCUCAAUUUUUUGCAUGCUAGCUCACUUAGCGCUAGCAUGAGUAUGUCGGCUUGAGCUUGGAAUCACACGUGUGCACGCACACACGUAGGAGAGAGAGUAGUUCUGAUUCCAUCCAGUAGGGGGCAGUUCAUUACCCAUUUGUAUUUGAAAAUUCUAGAAAAUUCCACACAAAACUCCAGCAUUAAUGCAACAUGCAAAAGCAAGUUCUCUCACGGCUCCCCUGGCUGUAAUGGAUUAGUCUUCAUUUAAAGCUGAUUUAAUGCACAUUUCUGUUGCUGUUUAAAUAACACACCUGGUCCUAUGAACUAUCCCAGCAGGAGCAUUUUCUGAGGAAAAGACUCUCUGUUAAUUUCUACUACUCCCAGGCACUUACGCAGUGCCUUUCAUGCAAAGGUCUCAACGGGCUUUACAAACACACAGCAGUGAGUGAGAAAAAAAAGUUAGUAUUGUCACCAAAACGGUUGUGCCAUUCAGUGGUUGGGGCGGAUUUUCCUAAUAUGAUCAUUCCACUCUCCUUUCAGGCAAGCUCUCAUCAACAGUGAUAAAAUAUUGAGAUUUAAUCCAUCCUCAGUAGACUUCAGGGUUAACACCUCCUUGAGAUGGAGAAGGGUCUGAGAUGGGGUGUUCACCCUGCAACAGCACUGAAGGGGUUCAAGUGACUCAGAAGGGCCCAAUUCAUCUUAUAGGCCGCACCUGUGGGAGAGUCUGGCUUGAGCUGGGGCAAAAAUCAAACAAAAACCCUGGUAUUCUGUCCCUGAUGGAGGGGGUUUAUCCCGAGGAGUUGUGGGGAGAAAUAGCCUGUGGAAGGCAGAGGAGGAAAGAGCAGCGAGGAUUGAUACUGUGCAGACCUUGGCUGCUGAUUUUAGGGUCCCUGAACUGGAACAUGGAGUAGCAGGCGGGCUCAGUUCUCCUACCUGCCACUGGGGAAGGGGCACAGACUGGGAAUUAUAGAGCACUGCCUGAGACGGCCCCUGGGCAGAUUGUCGGGUGGGACUUGGCUACCCUGGAAGGGGAAAACUGUAUAAUGACGUAGCCAGAAGGCUGAGUCACAGAGAGCACCCCAAGUCCUGGAGAGCCUGUGGGGCGUGCGAAUGACAGACAGAAGGGGGCACCAAUCCAUGAGGAGGUGUCAGAGCAGGGAGUGAAACCCGUUACAGGGCCGGUCACACCUCUGAUAGCUAUUGGUUUCCAGGCUAGCUGUAGGCUCAAGCAGAGAUCACAGCAGUGGCGUGUUUGGUUCCUAUCUUGAAGGUUUUCAAUACAACUAUCAGGUUAGAGUUUUAAUUUAUUUUAAAUGAACACUUAGAUUCUGGAGCAGAAGAUGCAAUCAGCAGGGGAAAGUACCAGCUGGCUGUGCUGCCUAGAGCCAGGCCAAUAUGAACCUUGCAGAUAUAAUAACGGCAACACACCUGACCUGUUACAAAUGGGGAAACUGAGGCGCUGAGAGGUUAAGUGAUUUGCCCAAGAUCUCACAGUGAAUCAAUGGCAGGUGUGGGGAUGGAAGCCAGGCGUCCUGAGGCCUAGUCCUCAGUGGUAACCAUUAGGCUUCGUGCGUUCUCUCUUUCCUACUCGGUUCCAUUCCAUGAGUACUUUGCUGGUCUUCAGCGAGUGUGGACUUUUUAUGGUAACUGGACUGGAUUUAGAUGUCACCAUGUCCUGGAGAUUCCCCUGCGGCAGCUCUGUCUGUCUGUCUCUCUCUCUCGCUAUUCCCCCUCUU
This is a long non-coding RNA of Trachemys scripta elegans, 2524 nucleotides long. RefSeq lists it as uncharacterized. The transcript is spliced from 3 exons. The record is from RefSeq and is a predicted model, not a curated record. Lineage: Eukaryota; Metazoa; Chordata; Testudines; Emydidae.